UAUAAAUUUCCACUCGAUAAUUCCAUCUACAAGACCCUUAACUAUUAUUGAAUCGAGUGAGAUGCCAACAAAAUCUCGAUAUUUACCCAUAACCUAAACAUGGCAGUACCCUAUAUACUGUAUAUAUACAUGAACUUGUGGUUACAGCUCGACAACUGGCCUCUUUAGCUCAAUUGUUCGAGCGUUACACCAGAAUCGCAAGGCCGCAGGUACGAUUUCUAUCAGGAACCUAAAGUUGCACUUAUGGCAGCUGUUCCUGGU
Molecule: non-coding RNA, 261 nt
Organism: Paramuricea clavata
Lineage: Eukaryota; Metazoa; Cnidaria; Anthozoa; Malacalcyonacea; Plexauridae
Source: the annotation of a GenBank genome assembly